AGCAGCCGCGGUAAUUCCAGCUCCAAUAGCGUAUAUUAAAGUUGUUGCAGUUAAAAAGCUCGUAGUUGAAUUUCGGGGUUAGCAAGUUGGUCGUGCCACUGGUAUGUACUGGCUUUGCUGAUUCCUCCUUCUUGUAGAACCGUAAUGCCAUUCAGUUGGUGUUGCGGGGAAACAGGACUGUUACUUUGAAAAAAUUAGAGUGUUUAAAGCAGGCUA
This 216-nucleotide ribosomal RNA is filed under the name uncultured Glomus. RNAcentral describes it as "partial small subunit ribosomal RNA". It matches the Rfam family "Eukaryotic small subunit ribosomal RNA", at positions 569 to 787 of the family's 1831-position model. Lineage: Eukaryota; Fungi; Glomeromycota; Glomeromycetes; Glomerales; Glomeraceae. The record is from RNAcentral.